UAUUUAUUUUUUAAUAUUUAUUUUUUAUAUUUUAUAUUUAUUAUUAAUUAAUAUUUAUUAUUAAUUUAAAUUUUUUUGAAUCUUUUAUUUUAUAAAUCAAAUAAAAAAAAUCAAAUAAAUAAGACUUCUUUUUUUUUAUUUAAAAAAUUUGAAUUUAAAAAGAUUAUUUGAUUUUUUUUAUAUUAUAUCAAUCAAUAUUAUAUAAUAUUGAUUGAUAUAAUAUAUUGAUUGGAAUAUAAAGUUGGAGAUGUCUUUUUAGAGCCCUUACUUUAUCUAAAUAUCUAAAUGAAAAUGGAAGAAUUGCUGAUGAAAGUUUUCCUAUUUAUCUUUUAUUAUUUUAUAGUUAUUAUUAUACACUAAAUUAUAUAAAUUAUAUAAUAAUAUAUAAUAAUAUAGAUAAUAUAGAUAUAAUAUAUAAUAAUAGAUAAAUAUAUAGAUAAAUAUAACAAAUAUAAAAUAAUAAAAGAUAAAUAGGAAAAUAGAGAAUUAUGAAAGUAAUAAAGAGAGAAAAAAGCCUUUAUUUUUUCAAGCCUUACUUGUUGUGUAAUGUAACAUAGUAAUUAAUUAUCCUUUUUCAAUCGGGAGAGAUGGCUGAGUGGACUAAAGCGUCGGAUUGCUAAUCCGUUGUACGAGUUAUUCGUACCGAGGGUUCGAAUCCCUCUCUUUCCGGUUUCGGUGAUGACUUUGGAAUUUUUUUUAUCUUUUCUUUAAAAUUUAGCGAACCUUUUUUGUUUUAUUUAAUAUUUAAAAAUGUAGAAUAGAUAAAAAAAUGCUAAGAACAUUUAAAAAUCAAGAAAAACCUUAUUUUUUUUUAUUCUUCACGUCCAGGAUUACGUCCUGGAUCAUUAGAUAAAAAUCCAAAGAUGAAGAGAGAAACAAAGAAUAUCACUACUGUGUAAACAAAGAGUUUGAGAGUAAGCAUUAUAAAAUCUCCAAGAUCUUUUUUUGGUUUAGAAAAAAAAAAAAUAGAUUCUCUAUUUUUAUACCACAUAUUCUAUUUUAACACCAAGAAAUGCAGUGGUUUCUAGAAAUAGAAAAGACUUUUUCUUUUGUUAAAUUCAUUUGUAUGUAAUAAGAGUCGAGUCUUUCAUUGCCAAAAAAUUUCUUUCAUACCUAAAUUUAGAUGUUUUUUUUCAUAACUACAAUUAGGGCUCUAAUAGGAUCUGGAAUGGAAAAAAAAGUUCAGAAUGAGAAAAAGUGGGAUGAUCCAGAAUUCUCGCGUUUAUACAAUAACUUCAAUGUUUGAAUUAAGAGUUUAUACUAUAAGACUUAUCUGAUCUUAUCAAUUGUUAUAAUUUUUUUUUUUUCGAAUAAAUCAUGAAUUAUUCUAGAACAAUAUUAAAGAUCUCAUCGAAAACUUACAGCAGCUUGCCAAACAAAGGCUAAUAGAAAAAAGAGUACAGGGAUUACUGGCAUAACAUCUACGAUUGGAUUCAAAAAGGCGUAGGCUUCGGGCAAUUUUGUAAAGAAAAAAUUGCUUGAAAAAAUGGCAGAAUUAAAACAGAUACAAAUUAAACUAAAAAUAUUAAGCAUAACAAGCAUUUUUUUUUUGAAAAUAAUUGUAUUUUGACUGAGUUAUUAAUAUAUUAUUGAUAUAAAAAUUGAUAGAAAAUAAAGCAAGGUAGACCAAAAACCCUUCUUUAUUAAACUAAACUCACCCAAUCAAAAAUCCUUCAAUUCUCAAAUCAAAAAAGAAUAGAGGAAAUCAUAUUUUUUAUACAAUAUCUUAAUUGAAUUAUAUAUUAUGAUCAAUAAAUUCAGUUUAAUUCUAUAUCUACAUAUACAAAAAUCUUAACAACAAGCUAAUAUAUUUUCUAAAUUUUUUGAUAGGAAUUGACGAAGAACCAAUACCAAUAUUAAUUUUUAUUAGUGUUGAAUAGAAAAUAUAAAUGGGGCGUGGCCAAGCGGUAAGGCAACGGGUUUUGGUCCCGCUAUUCGGAGGUUCGAAUCCUUCCGUCCCAGCUAUUCUAUAUAAAAAACUAUAGAAAAAUAUAAAAAAAUGGGAUCCUUCCUUAUUUGAUUCAUCAUCCCUCAUAUAACAUAUAAUUGGGGAAGUAGAUAGGAGUUCAUUAGUAAUGGAAGAUAUCAAUUUCAACGCCUACGCCUGUUAAAAUCUCAUUAACAAACAAAGAAAAUACAUAUAUAUGUAUUUUCUUUUAACUAACCUCAUUUUUUUUUUUUCAGAUAUUUUGUCUUUGGCUUUAACUUUAAUGAAGAAUUCUAAAUCUAUCUAAAAAUCGAGACAGGGUUGAUUCAUAUAUCCUAUUCACUUUACUUUGGGAAAAAAUUUGAAAAAGACUCAAGUCGAGUCAAAUAAACUACUAAAAAAAUGAAGAAAUGCUUAUAUGUAUGUAUUCUUAGCAUUUUUUGAUUAACACCUUUGUUUUGUUUCUAUUUUUGGAAUGUAAAAAAAAUUCAUCAUCCCUUACGUAAUUUCAAUAUUUAACUUAGAAUAUCCAUAAUUAAUUCCAGCGACAAUUCUUUAGUCUAUCUAAUAAAUAAGAUGUAAAUAAGAUGACCCUCUAGUAUUUCGAUACUGAUUUUAUCACUCAGUAUCAAAGAAUAACAACUUCAAAUUUUCCUUACAUCAGUCUUUUUUAUCUACUACUGUACUAAAAAAAAUUGGAUUUUUUUUUUAACCUAUUUAUUUGUUUUAAAUCGUUGAUGGUUUAAUCCGAAUUUGAAUAUGGGGGUUCUUUCUCUCUUAUGAUGAUAAAAUAUGUUUCUUAUUGUAAAACAAAAUUUUAUUCAAAUAAUGAUAUCGAGAUAGGCAAUUUUAAAAUUAAAUCUUUUUAAGGAUUUUUUAUGAGUUCUUGGGACUCGAAGAAAUGUGAGAUAGACGAAUCUGUUCUAUGGAGUCACUUGAAGAUUCAAAAAGAUCUUAUUUCUUUGUCUUAUUUCUAAUAUUAGAAUUGUAAAUAAAAAAAUAUUCAUACAAUAAAAUAUGGGGUUAAGUUAAAUUGAAUUCUUUCUGACACUUCUUCAGAAAUUAACCAAUAGAAGUUAAAUUUUUAGAUUACUAUGUACCGGUUGAAUCAAUGACUAUUCACGAUUCUAUAAUUGAAUCAAUUACAUACUAGUUCAAAACUAAGGAAUGUUAUGGUAAAACUUCGUUUGAAACGAUGUGGUAGAAAGCAACGUGCGACUUGAAGGACACGAUCGGCUGUGGAUUCUUACAUCCACCCUAUUAAUAUUAUAUAGUAAUAUUAUAUAGCAUAUAGUAAUAGUAUAUAGGAAUGAGGGUGCUCUUAGCUCGACAUCGUUUGUUCUGUUAUACACUAGAGCCUUCAUUUUUUGUUGGGUUGUAAUGUAAAUAGUACAUGGUGGAGCUCGAGUAGAAAGGAUUGAUUUCUUUCUUAGGGGCAAGAAUCUAGGGUUAGUACUAAUCAAUAAGUUGGAACAACUUCGUAAGUAUAUUUUCGAUAUCGAAAUAGAAAGAAUCCAAUUCGAGCAAGUUUAAAAUCCAAGAAAAAGUUUGUUGGAAUUACCAAAAUUCUUUUGAUUAAAAAAUAAAGUGUAUCACGCAGGAAUCAAUCGUUAGUCCGAUUCUUUGAUAGAAAAAAAAUCACAAAAAGUGGUAUGUUGCUGCCAUUUUGAAACGAUUAAAGAUCACCGAAGUAAUGUCUAAACCCAACGAUUCAAGGCAAACAUAAAGGAUCCUGGAACAAGUAAAUACCGUUUUCAAUUGUCUCAACAAUUAGAUUAGAAUGAAGAAUCAAAAAUAGAUUAUAAAAGAAAGAAACAAAAAUAAAGGGGAUUAGAGAUCACUCAAUAAAUGAAAUGCCUAAAGGGUUCCCUUUGAGCUAUUUGAAAGUUAUCCAACUUGAGUUAGGAGGGUACAGAUGAUUUUUUUCUUUUUUGGUAAACAAAAAUAAGAAGAAAAGGGACUUAAAUCAUAGUUUAAUUGAUUUGAUGAUUUUAUGGAUCUAUUUGACACUAUAAUUCUAUACAUAUAUAGAACUUCGAAUCAUUUUUCUCGAGCCGUACGAGGAGAAAACUUCUUAUACGUUUCUACGGGAGGGGUCUUUUUUUUUCUACUUCUAUCCCAAUGAGUCGUUUAUCGAAUCGUUGCAAUUGAUGUUCGAUCCCGAAGAGAAGGAAGAGAUCUUCGGAAAGUGGGGUUUUAUGAUCCGAUAAAAAAUCAAACCUAUUUAAAUGUUCCUGCUAUUCUAUAUUUCCUUGAAAAAGGCGCUCAACCUACAGGAACUGUUCAUGAUAUUUUAAGAAAGGCGGGGGUUUUUACGGAACUUCGCCUUAAUCAAACGCAAUUUACUUAAUGAAAUACAGGGUGUGGGUAAUUCGUAUACAUAUAUAGCUUUCUAUAACCUUUUCUCUACUAUCCCCCCCUCUCUUGUUCUAUUCAUACUCUAUUCAUACCUAUUUUUUUUCUUCAUUGUGUAUUUUUUUUUUUUUCAAUAUAUUCACAUUCAUAUUGACAACAGUGUAUCAAAUAAAUAUAAUCCGAUCUGAGGUAAUUGGAUCUUAUCUGUGGAUCUAUUUAUCCCCGUUCCAUGGAUUUGGUUUUUUCUUCAUUCAAGUGAUGGGUUUCUUGGAUUUGUUGUGAUACAAAAGUUUUUUUUGAUUGAAAAAAAUGUAUAAAAAAAUGUUAUUGUUAUAGUUAUAAAAAAUAUAGUUAUAAAAAAGUAUUUUUCUAUAUUUCUAUAUUUAUAUAAAAAUAUAGAAAAUAAAAAACGUAUACAUAUACGUAUAUAUAUGUAUAAUAAAAAAAUAUAAGAAUGGAUAGCGAAUAUAAGAAUAGAUAGCGUAAAAGACAAGAGGUGAUCUAUAAAAUUUUAUUUUAUCUAUAUCUAUAUUUUUUGAUCUCUUCUUUUUUUUGUUCAGAAUUGAUUAGAAAUUUUUAUAUUUCAUUUCUUUUAAUUUUUUGCUAAUUUAAUGUUUUAAUUGUGUCGUAUGAUUCAAUCUCUUUAUUUAUUUUGAUUCCGAUUGUAUCUACAUAAUCUAAUUUUUUUUAGGAGGGGGGGGAAGGGUUGCUAACUCAAUGGUAGAGUACUCGGCUUUUAAGUGCGGCUAAUAUCUUUUACACAUUUGUAUGAAGAAAGGGAUUCGUCCAUACUAUCGGUAUAGUUAUAGUUUGUAAGACCACGACUGAUCCUGAAAGGAAUGACUGGAAAAAACAGCAUGUCGUAUCAAUGGAGAAUUCUGAGAAUAUUUCAUUUUUGCCGGAUCGACCCAAACUUUAUUUGAAUUUUUGGUGCGGAACAUAAAAAAAUGAAUUCAAAAUUGGGUCGAGUGAAUAAAUGGAUAGACUCCUACGGUUCCAAUUAUAGGGAAACAAAAAAGCAACGAGCUUACGUUCUUAAUUUGAAUGAUUAUCCGAUCUAAUUAGACGUUAAAAAUAAAUUAGUACCUAAUGCGGGAAUUUCUAUGAGCAGAUUUUCUAUUUUCUUUUAAUAAGUCCUAACUAUUAGGUAUUCUCCACUAUGAGGGGGAGAUGGAUGUGUAGAAGAAAGAGUAUAUUGAUAACGAGAUUUUUUUCCAAAAUCAAAAGAGCGAUCGGCUUGAAAAAAUAAAGGAUUUCUAAUUAUCUUUUUAUCCUAUCCUAUAAUACACAUAAAUACACAUAAACCAAUUAGAUGGAAAAAAAGAGGGGAUGGGGAGUCCGUUGAUGAGUUUGCCUAUUUCCAAGGUAUCUAUUCUUUUCUUAUUAUACUACUUUGUUUUUACUGUAUCGCACUAUGUAUCAUUUAAUAAUCUAAUAAAAAUCCUCUAUCCUUGCUGCAAUCAAAGUGAAUUUAAAAUGAAACAAAAAAUGGAGGAAAGAUAUUUAGAAUUAGAUAGAUCUCGAAAAAACGACUUCCUAUACCCAUUUAUCUUUCGGGAGUAUAUUUAUACAUUCGCUCAUGAUCAUAGUUUAAAUAGAUCUAUUUUGUUGGAAAAUGUAGGUUAUGACAAUAAAUCUAGUUUUUUAAUUGUAAAACGUUUAAUUACUCGAAUGUAUCAACAGAAUCAUUUGAUUAUUUCUGCUAAUGAUUCUAACCAAAAUCCAUUUUUUAGAUACAACAAGAAUUUGUAUUAUCAAAUGAUAUCAGAGGGCUUUGCAGUUAUUGUGGAAAUUCCAUUUUCCCUACGAUUAGUAUCUUCUUUAGAAAGGUCAGAGAUAGUAAAAUCUCAUAAAUUACGAUCAAUUCAUUCAAUAUUUCCUUUAUUAGAGGACAAAUUUCCACAUUUAAAUUAUGUGUCAGAUAUAUUAAUACCUUACCCCAUCCAUCUAGAAAAAUUGGUUCAAACCCUUCGCUAUUGGGUGAAAGAUCCCUCUUCUUUGCAUUUAUUACGACUCUUUCUUCAUGAGUAUUGGAAUUUGAACAGUCUUAUUAUUCCAAAGAAAUCUAUUAUUAUUUUUAUAAAAAGGAAUCCAAGAUUUUUCUUGUUCCUAUAUAAUUCUCAUGUAUAUGAAUACGAAUCCAUCUUCUUUUUUCUCCGUAACCAAUCCUUUCAUUUACGAUCAAUAUUUUUGCGAGUCCUUCUUGAACGAAUUUUUUUCUAUGGAAAAAUAGAACAUUUUGCGGAAGUCUUUGCUAAUGAUUUUCAGGCCACCCUGUGGUUGUUCAAGGAUCCUUUCAUGCAUUAUGUUAGAUAUCAAGGAAAAUCAAUUUUGGCUUCAAAAAAUAGGCCUUUUCUGAUGAAAAAAUGGAAAUAUUACCUUGUC
This is an RNA transcript of Hevea brasiliensis (rubber tree), 6667 nucleotides long. It is a transcript of the gene named maturase K-like, with no coding region annotated. The record is from RefSeq and is a predicted model, not a curated record. Lineage: Eukaryota; Viridiplantae; Streptophyta; Magnoliopsida; Malpighiales; Euphorbiaceae. The transcript has a single exon.